This 699-nucleotide ribosomal RNA is filed under the name uncultured bacterium. Its description in RNAcentral is "partial 16S ribosomal RNA". The record is from RNAcentral.
ACGGCUACCUUGUUACGACUUCAUCCCAGUCACCGAUCCCGCCUUCGGCAGCUCCCUCCCAUAGGGUUGGGCCACUGACUUCGGGCGUUACCGAUUUCCGUGAUGUGACGGGCGGUGUGUACAAGCCCCGGGAACGUAUUCACCGCGACAAUGCUGAUUCGCGAUUACUAGCGAUUCCGACUUCAUGGAGUCGAGUUGCAGACUCCAAUCCGGACUACGAGACGCUUUCUGAGAUUAGCUCCCCCUCGCGGGUUGGCGACCCUCUGUACGCCCCAUUGUAGCACGUGUGUAGCCCUACCCAUAAGGGCCAUGAUGACUUGACGUCGUCCCCGCCUUCCUCCGGUUUAUCACCGGCGGUCUCCUUAGAGUCCCCAACUUUACUUGCUGGUAACUAAGGACAAGGGUUGCGCUCGUUACGGGACUUAACCCAACAUCUCACAACACGAGCUGACGACAGCCAUGCAGCACCUGUCUCUGCGCUUCUUUCGACACUCUCAAAUCUCUUCGAGAUUCGCAGGAUGUCAAGGGUAGGUAAGGUUCUUCGCGUUGCAUCGAAUUAAACCACAUGCUCCACCGCUUGUGCGGGCCCCCGUCAAUUCCUUUGAGUUUCAACCUUGCGAUUGUACUUCCCAGGCGGAGAACUUAUCGCGCUAGCUUCGAUACCCAUGGAUCGCUCCACAAGCAUCUAGUUCUCAUCGU